CUUAGCACGGCAAGGUAAACCAAAAAUAAUUUUUCCAAAAUUCUCUUAUAAAAGUGAAAUGACUAAUCACAUGACUUUGCAACUCUAAAAAAGUCUUGACCUUCUCUACAAAGCAGGAAAGUAAAGGACUGUCUAAACUCUAAUCUCCAGUUGCCUGACUCUUCCUCGAUUCAUAAAGUUCAUUUGACCAGAGUUCUUCCCUAAAAUGACCUUCCCGACUAAACCUUUCAAUGAGCUAUAAAUCACAGGUUCCCAUUUGCGCAUCGACCACCUACAUCAAUAAGAAACGAAUGUACUGAGGUUCAUGCUUUAUUCUCAAGUGUUCCUCAAGUGAUUACGAAUGAAUCUAAGUAAAUUCUACAAAUCCUCACGUCAAGGGCAAUGCGAUAAAACUUGCAAAACUAUUUUGUAAUCAUGUAAUAAUUCUCGUGUGCCUCCGUUAACAAGCCAUUUUCAUUAUUGGCAGUCAUUAAAAGCGUAUUAUAUGAACGGUAAA
Molecule: long non-coding RNA, 496 nt
Organism: Drosophila willistoni
Lineage: Eukaryota; Metazoa; Arthropoda; Insecta; Diptera; Drosophilidae
Exons: 2
Source: RefSeq, a predicted model, not a curated record